AUGAAGCCUGUCAUCAUCUCAUCGCUGGUGCUGAUGGUCACCUUCAGAGGGACAGGAGCCCAGACAGUGACCCAGCCUGAUGACCACAUCUCUGUCCUCGCUGGGAAGCCUGUGCAGCUGAUGUGCAAGUACUCGUAUUCUGGGUCUUCUUAUCUCUUCUGGUAUGUCCAGUACCCCAAACAACCUCUCCAGUUACUCCUGAAUCACCUCUCAAAGGGGACUGUCAAAGGUUUCACAGCCAACACUGGCACGGACAAGUCUUCCUUCCAGCUGCAGAAAGCAUCAGCUCAGGAGGAAGACUCAGCCACAUACUUCUGCGCAUUGAGUGGCACAGUGACUGGGUAUGUAGGGGAAGCAGAGCUCAAACCCCGGGGCUUUCCGGGAGUCUCUUUGUGGUUUUCUGGCCACAGUGGGGCAUUCUUUCUCUAG
Condylura cristata (star-nosed mole) is the source of this 429-nucleotide non-coding RNA. The record is from the annotation of a RefSeq genome assembly. NCBI's taxonomy places the organism in Eukaryota, Metazoa, Chordata, Mammalia, Eulipotyphla, Talpidae.